CGGGGCAUGGCGCAGUCUGGUAGCGCACCUGCUUUGGGAGCAGGAAGUCGGGGGUUCAAAUCCCUCUGCCCCGACCA
RNAcentral lists this transfer RNA (77 nucleotides) under Gammaproteobacteria bacterium. RNAcentral describes it as "tRNA-Pro". It matches the Rfam family "tRNA". Rfam says of the family: Transfer RNA (tRNA) molecules are approximately 80 nucleotides in length. Their secondary structure includes four short double-helical elements and three loops (D, anti-codon, and T loops). Lineage: Bacteria; Pseudomonadati; Pseudomonadota; Gammaproteobacteria. The record is from RNAcentral.